RNAcentral lists this unclassified non-coding RNA (200 nucleotides) under soil metagenome. Its description in RNAcentral is "partial contains internal transcribed spacer 2 and large subunit ribosomal RNA". The record is from RNAcentral.
CUGUUCGAGCGUCAGUACAACACUCAAGCCCAGCUUGGUCUUGAGCCCAGCCGGUUACGGCGGGCUUUAAAAUCAGUGGCGGCGCAUCUGGCUCUAAGCGUAGUAAUACUCCUCGCUAUUGAGUCACGGUGGAUGCUGGCUAGCAACCCCCAACUUCCAAGUUUGACCUCGGAUCAGGUAGGGAUACCCGCUGAACUUAA